UUACUGGCGGACGGAUGAGUAUCGCGUGAGCAACCUGCCUUACAGAGGGGGACAACAGUUGGAAACGACUGCUAAUACCGCAUAAUAUAGCGAGUGCGCAUCCACCUGUUAUCAAAAGAACAAUCCGCUGUAAGAUGGGCUC
This 142-nucleotide ribosomal RNA is filed under the name uncultured rumen bacterium. RNAcentral describes it as "partial 16S ribosomal RNA". It matches the Rfam family "Bacterial small subunit ribosomal RNA", at positions 92 to 232 of the family's 1533-position model. The record is from RNAcentral.